GUCCACGCCCUAAACGAUGUCUACUAGUUGUUGGGGAAUUCGUUCCUUAGUAACGCAGCUAACGCGUGAAGUAGACCGCCUGGGGAGUACGGCCGCAAGGCUAAAACUCAAAGGAAUUGACGGGGCCCGCACAAGCGGUGGAUGAUGUGGAUUAAUUCGAUGCAACGCGAAAAACCUUACCUAGCCUUGACAUGUCAAGAACCCCUGAGAGAUUGGGGGUGCCGCAAGGAACUUGAACACAGGUGCUGCAUGGCUGUCGU
RNAcentral lists this ribosomal RNA (260 nucleotides) under uncultured bacterium. RNAcentral describes it as "partial 16S ribosomal RNA". It matches the Rfam family "Bacterial small subunit ribosomal RNA", at positions 793 to 1055 of the family's 1533-position model. The record is from RNAcentral.